UGUUCUUAGCAGAUAAGGCGACUAUCACCUUUCUCUUCCAACCCCCAUAGCCAUUACCUGAGAAAGAGAUAGGAACAAGAGAAACACCGGGUACAUCAGAAGAGUAAAUAAAUAGAGGAUUUGUAGGGUCAAUAGGUGAGGGAUUAACAAGGUUCAUAUUUGCCAUCAAAGACAGGAUAAUAGGGAUGAGAAAAGAGAGUGAUACAACAACUAUGAGCUACACAAUACAGCAACAAAAGUACAUGCAAGCUCUAAUCUAGUAGGAGAAUAGGGUUACCAGGCUUCUACGCAACCGGAGAAGACACGACCUUCAAAAAAAUUGCAGAGAAACCCUAGCUUGUGGAGAAAACCCUAGUUUCGUUGUCAGGAAACCCUAGCUUGCAGAAAACCCGGUGGAAUCAGGCACAAGAGGUGUCGGAAAAUCACCCUAACACCUCGCUGGAAGGAUCGGUAACAAAACAACUCCGAUCUCACCAAAAUAUCAAAAAAAAUCCAGAAUUUUCACCAACAACUUUGAAAACUAGAAAUCACCACCGAUAACGCGAUGAACUCAAACCAAAAGAACGGGGAAGAUAGAGAGUAUGUCCGAGAGAAAGAACCAAGCUCUGAUACCAUGUAAACAUGGGGAAUCGGAGUUGAAUCAAGUAUAGAAAGAAGUAAAAUAGAGAGAGAAAAGAGAGAGAAACCCUUCUUUGUAUAUUGACAAA
RNAcentral lists this long non-coding RNA (707 nucleotides) under Nicotiana benthamiana. RNAcentral's name for it is "long non-coding RNA (NBEN_LNC025867)". Lineage: Eukaryota; Viridiplantae; Streptophyta; Magnoliopsida; Solanales; Solanaceae. The record is from RNAcentral.